GACGAACGCUGGCGGCGUGCUUAACACAUGCAAGUCGAACGGUAAGGCCCUUCGGGGUACACGAGUGGCGAACGGGUGAGUAACACGUGGGUGAUCUGCCCUGCACUUCGGGAUAAGCCUGGGAAACUGGGUCUAAUACCGGAUAGGACCACUGCCUGCAUGGGUGGUGGUGGAAAGCUUUUGCGGUGUGGGAUGGGCCCGCGGCCUAUCAGCUUGUUGGUGGGGUGAUGGCCUACCAAGGCGACGACGGGUAGCCGGCCUGAGAGGGUGACCGGCCACACUGGGACGGGGAUACGGCCCAGCCUCCUACGGGAGGCAGCAGUGGGGAAUAUUGCACAAUGGGCGCAAGCCUGAUGCAGCGACGCCGCGUGAGGGAUGACGGCCUUCGGGUUGUAAACCUCUUUCAGCACCGACGAAGCGCAAGUGACGGUAGGUGCAGAAGAAGGACCGGCCAACUACGUGCCAGCCGCCGCAGUAA
Molecule: ribosomal RNA, 478 nt
Filed under: uncultured bacterium
Lineage: Bacteria
Description: partial 16S ribosomal RNA
Rfam family: Bacterial small subunit ribosomal RNA
Source: RNAcentral